AGGAGACAGACCUAACCAGUCUUUCUGAAAAAGAAUUCAAAAUAAAAAAUCAUAAACAUUCUGACGGAGAUGCAGAGAAAUAUACAAGAGCUAAGGGAUGAAAUGCAGAGAAAAAUGCAAGAGCAAUGGGAUGAAAUGCAGAGAAAUACGCAAGAGAAAUGGGAUGAAGUCCGGAGGGAGAUCACAGAUGCCAGAAAGGAGAUCGCAGAAAUGAAACAAACUCUGGAAGGGUUUAUAAGCAGAAUGGAUAGGAUGCAAGAGGCCAUUGAUGGAAUUGAAACCAGAGAACAGGAACGCAUAGAAGCUGACAUAGAGAGAGAUAAAAGGACCUCCAGGAAUGAAACAAUAUUAAGAGAACUGUGUGACUAAUCCAAAAGGAAAAAUAUCCGUAUUAUAGGGGUACCAAAAGAAGAAGAGAGAGGAAAAGGGAUGGAAAGUAUCUUAGAAGAAAUAAUUGCUGAAAACUUCACCAAACUGGGGGAGGAAAUAAUCGAACAGACCACGGAAA
Manis pentadactyla (Chinese pangolin) is the source of this 508-nucleotide long non-coding RNA. RefSeq lists it as uncharacterized. Lineage: Eukaryota; Metazoa; Chordata; Mammalia; Pholidota; Manidae. The transcript has 3 exons. The record is from RefSeq and is a predicted model, not a curated record.